Molecule: long non-coding RNA, 617 nt
Organism: Solanum lycopersicum (tomato)
Lineage: Eukaryota; Viridiplantae; Streptophyta; Magnoliopsida; Solanales; Solanaceae
Source: RefSeq, a predicted model, not a curated record
AAAUUAUUAAAAUAAUUGGCUCCUCCUAUAAAAAGACAAUACCUUUAGCUGUCAUAUUUUUCUGUUCUCAGAUCUAUCUUUUUCCUGUCAUAAAAUCAAAUGGAGAAAAAGGUUUCUUUCCUCAGUUUAUUGUUACUAAUAUUUGUGGGAUUUUCUCUUCUAAUCUCAACAAUUGCAGUUCCUUCUUCAAGAAGUAUUAAGACAAAUACAGAAAAUCAAGUUUCUCAUGACAAGGUGGUAUUGAUGGAUGAGUUGGAGAAGAAGAGGGAAUUGUUGGUGGAAAGAGAUGAUUAUGCAGGAACAGGUGCAAAUAAUCAUCAUGACCCAAAGCCUCCUGGCUCUCAAUGGUCAAAUCUUAAUUAAUUAAUUAAUUAAUUGCGUUUAAGAUUAUGUUUAUGUGUACAAAAGAUGAAAUAAAGAUUACCAAGGAAGGAUAUAUAUAUGCAGUACUACUCUACUCAAGUACAUGUAAUUAUAUAUGUUGCUUGUUUUAUAUUCUUAUUAGGAACUGCAUUAUUGUCCUUUCUUCCUUCGUACUGAUUCAUGUAACAGUGAUUGCGUGAACAUAAUGUUGUUGUUUUUGGGAAGAGGUGUUAUUAAUAACACCUUUAUCGAUA